AACGGAGAGGGCUAGUGUUAUUCGCAUUGACUGGGUGUAAAGGGCGUGUAGGUGGUUUAUUAAGUUUUAAGAUAAAUUAAAGAUCAAAAAUCUCAAAUCUUCUAAUACUAUUAAACUAGAGUUUAUCGGGAGAUGCUUGAACAUUAAGUGGAGGGGUGAAAUCCAUCGAUAUUUAAAGGGCAUGCAAUAGGCGAAGGCUGGUAUCUACGUUAAUACUGACACUGAGGCGCAAAAGCAUAGGGAUCAAACG
Molecule: ribosomal RNA, 250 nt
Filed under: uncultured bacterium
Lineage: Bacteria
Description: partial 16S ribosomal RNA
Rfam family: Bacterial small subunit ribosomal RNA
Source: RNAcentral